RNAcentral lists this ribosomal RNA (398 nucleotides) under uncultured bacterium. Its description in RNAcentral is "partial 16S ribosomal RNA". It matches the Rfam family "Bacterial small subunit ribosomal RNA", at positions 360 to 775 of the family's 1533-position model. The record is from RNAcentral.
AAUCUUUCGCAAGGGGCGAAAGCCUGACGCAGCCAUGCCGCGUGAAUGAUGAAGGACUUAGGAUUGUAAAAUUCUUUCACCGGAGACGAUAAUGACGGUACCCGGAGAAGAAGCCCCGGCUAACUUCGUGCCAGCAGCCGCGGUAAUACGAAGGGGGCUAGCGUUGCUCGGAAUUACUGGGCGUAAAGGGCGGGUAGGCGGAUCGUUAAGUCAGAGGUGAAAUCCCAGGGCUCAAACCUGGAAAUGCCUUUGAUAAUGGCGAUCUUGAAUAUGAGAGAGGUAAGUGGAAAUCCGAGUGUAGAGGUGAAAUUCGUAGAUAUUCGGAAGAACACCAGUGGCGAAGGCGACAUACUGGCUCAUUACUGACGCUGAGGCGCGAAAGCGUGGGGAGCAAACAG